AACUGUAAUGAACAUACAGUACUGGAAAAUUUUAUCUGUGAGUUGCAUGACGACAAUCCUGAAAAGCUCAUAAAUGCUAAUUCAACUGAGGUUGAUUGGGAACGUUCCUUCUAUUUGAAUUUAGUCACUCACACGUCAUAUACUGUCACAGUGGCAUUGUGCUGUAUCAGCAAUCUUCACAAUCGUGCAGACAAAAGCAAGCGGUUGCCUCCAAUUUACAAGGUUUCAAAAACUGUAUAUGCAUCCCCUAGUCAUGUAAAUUUCCGCCUUGAUCAAAGAAAGGCUGUAGAGACAGUACCUGCAUAUCCGAACAUUUAUUUCUCAGUUGAUGACUUCGAUGAUCCUUUUGAUGCUGUGGUUUUGUCAGACCCAGAACACUGCUAUUGUGUGAUUCUCAAUGCGCAUGAUGGGGCAGCAUUUCCUGAAGAAAGCGAAUCAAGCAAUGUCGGUUCAAAUAUACAAUCUGGGAUCAACUCUGGGAGC
This 483-nucleotide ribosomal RNA is filed under the name Triticum aestivum (bread wheat). RNAcentral describes it as "partial small subunit ribosomal RNA". Lineage: Eukaryota; Viridiplantae; Streptophyta; Magnoliopsida; Poales; Poaceae. The record is from RNAcentral.